Molecule: non-coding RNA, 722 nt
Organism: Hydra vulgaris (swiftwater hydra)
Lineage: Eukaryota; Metazoa; Cnidaria; Hydrozoa; Anthoathecata; Hydridae
Source: RefSeq, a predicted model, not a curated record
UAAAUCUCAUAACUGGAGAUGAAGUAACCAAUAAAAUAAACCAGUUCUUUACUGCUGAAAGAUCUAUAAAAGUACUGGAGAUGGCCAAGUCGGGGAAAAGAAAUGCUAAAAUAUUGACCUCGUGACUAACAUUGUGGCUGCCAUAGGAUCUGAGUCAAUAUAGAAGGUUUGUCAAUAUAGAAGUCAAUAUAAAAGGUUUAUAAUGUCUAUAGAUCAAUAUAGAUGUCAAUAUAGAAGGUUUAUAAUGUCUCUUUAUUUAAUAUUUAUUUUAUGUUUAUUUAUUUAAAAAAGUGUUUACAUAUUUUUAGCACAACAAAUAAGAGCAUCGAUGUUGUGCUUGCCCUGCCAUGUUUGGUGAAAAAACUGAAAGAUGGGUCGUGAUAAAUAAGGAAUCAACUCUAAGCACACCAACAAUAAACAUUACUUUCUCAAAUCAAGCCAAUAUUCUGCAUUUUGAAGAUGUGCAUAUAGCGAUCUAUCUCGAUGGUUUAGUUAUUUGUAACGUUCUAUCUAUCGAUGAAACAUCUUGAUAAAAGUCUUGAUAGCAUCUUAAUGGGUUUUUGAAAUAGCCUUCGAUCCGCGACUGCAGAAAACAUUGACAUUUCUAGCCAAUUAUAUUUGUGGGCUUAGUGAGUACUGUGUCAGUCCACCGGUUCAGCGAUUGUUGAACAAGUUGUUGUAAACUUUUAUUUGUAAUAAAAGUAAAAUAGCUUUUUUUUAAA